RNAcentral lists this ribosomal RNA (492 nucleotides) under uncultured bacterium. RNAcentral's name for it is "partial 16S ribosomal RNA". It matches the Rfam family "Bacterial small subunit ribosomal RNA", at positions 29 to 507 of the family's 1533-position model. The record is from RNAcentral.
AUUGAACGCUGGCGGCAUGCUUUACACAUGCAAGUCGAACGGUAACAGGCCUUCGGGUGCUGACGAGUGGCGAACUGGUGAGUAAUGCAUCGGAACGUACCCAGAGGUGGGGGAUAACGCAGCGAAAGCUGUGCUAAUACCGCAUGUGAUCUGAGGAUGAAAGCGGGGGACCGAGCAGCAACGUUUGGCCUCGCGCCUUUGGAGCGGCCGAUGUCGGAUUAGCUAGUUGGUGGGGUAAGGGCCUACCAAGGCGACGAUCCGUAGCUGGUCUGAGAGGACGACCAGCCACACUGGGACUGAGACACGGCCCAGACUCCUACGGGAGGCAGCAGUGGGGAAUUUUGGACAAUGGGCGCAAGCCUGAUCCAGCAAUGCCGCGUGCGGGAAGAAGGCCUUCGGGUUGUAAACCGCUUUUGGCAGGAACGAAACGGUGUCCGCUAAUACCGGGCGCUAAUGACGGUACCUGCAGAAUAAGCACCGGCUAACUACGUG